This 566-nucleotide ribosomal RNA is filed under the name Hansenula silvicultrix. Its description in RNAcentral is "eukaryotic LSU rRNA". It matches the Rfam family "Eukaryotic large subunit ribosomal RNA", at positions 62 to 648 of the family's 3401-position model. The record is from RNAcentral. Lineage: Eukaryota; Fungi; Ascomycota; Saccharomycetes; Phaffomycetales; Wickerhamomycetaceae.
AAACCAACAGGGAUUGCCUCAGUAACGGCGAGUGAAGCGGCAAAAGCUCAAAUUUGAAAUCUAGCACCUUUGGUGUUCGAGUUGUAAUUUGAAGAUGGCUACCUUGGGUUUGGCUCUUGUCUAUGUUCCUUGGAACAGGACGUCAUAGAGGGUGAGAAUCCCGUCUGAUGAGAUGCCCAUUCCUUUGUAAGGUGCUAUCGAAGAGUCGAGUUGUUUGGGAAUGCAGCUCUAAGUGGGUGGUAAAUUCCAUCUAAAGCUAAAUAUUGGCGAGAGACCGAUAGCGAACAAGUACAGUGAUGGAAAGAUGAAAAGAACUUUGAAAAGAGAGUGAAAAAGUACGUGAAAUUGUUGAAAGGGAAGGGCAUUAGAUCAGACUUGGUGUUUUAUGAUUAUCUUCUCUUCUUGAGUUGUGCACUCGUAUUUCACUGGGCCAGCAUCGAUUCGGAUGGUAAGAUAAGAGCAGUUAAAUGUGGCUCUUCGGAGUGUUAUAGUUUCUGUUGAUAUUACCUGUCUGGAUCGAGGGCUGCGUCUUUGACUAGGAUGCUGGCGUAAUGAUCUAAUGCCGC